UUAAUCGAAACCAAAUAUUAGGUAUAUCACUGUUAAUGAUAAAAUUGAAUUUAUUUUCCGAUUAAA
This 66-nucleotide transfer RNA is filed under the name Xuthea yunnanensis. RNAcentral describes it as "tRNA-Asn". Lineage: Eukaryota; Metazoa; Arthropoda; Insecta; Coleoptera; Chrysomelidae. The record is from RNAcentral.